ACUCUGCAGGACACCGGCCCUCCAGGACCAAGUUUGGGCACCCCUGGCGUAGAGCAACCACCCAAUUCAACCAACCUGGCUGGGACAUGAUUAUCAAUGUCUACUCUGAAAGCUCGUGCACCACGACAAUGAAAAGCCAUGAUCAAUGGAGCUCCGAAAUGAUGAUUCACCAUGCAGCACCCGACAAAAAGACGUCCACAUACUUCAAUACGCAAAAGAGAAAAAAAACAACAACAACAAAAAAAGC
Sinocyclocheilus grahami is the source of this 247-nucleotide long non-coding RNA. RefSeq lists it as uncharacterized. The record is from RefSeq and is a predicted model, not a curated record. NCBI's taxonomy places the organism in Eukaryota, Metazoa, Chordata, Actinopteri, Cypriniformes, Cyprinidae. The transcript has 3 exons.